RNAcentral lists this ribosomal RNA (253 nucleotides) under uncultured bacterium. RNAcentral describes it as "partial 16S ribosomal RNA". It matches the Rfam family "Bacterial small subunit ribosomal RNA", at positions 524 to 776 of the family's 1533-position model. The record is from RNAcentral.
UACGUAGGGUGCAAGCGUUGUCCGGAAUUAUUGGGCGUAAAGAGCUCGUAGGCGGUUCGUCGCGUCGGCUGUGAAAUCCCGAGGCUCAACCUCGGGUCUGCAGUCGAUACGGGCGGACUGGAGUUCGGCAGGGGAGACUGGAAUUCCUGGUGUAGCGGUGAAAUGCGCAGAUAUCAGGAGGAACACCGGUGGCGAAGGCGGGUCGCUGGGCCGAUACUGACGCUGAGGAGCGAAAGCGUGGGGAGCAAACAGG